GAUCAGUAACUGGUCUGAGAGGACGAUCAGUCACACUGGAACUGAGACACGGUCCAGACUCCUACGGGAGGCAGCAGUGAGGAAUAUUGGUCAAUGGGGGCAACCCUGAACCAGCGACGCCGCGUGAAGGAUGACAGGGCUUUGCCCCGUAAAACUUCUGUCGGGAGGGAAAAAAGGACUGUUUGGCGGUCUGGGAUUGUACCUCUAAAGGAAGCACCGGCUAACUACGUGCCAGCAGCCGCGGUAAUACGUAGGGUGCAAAACGUUGUCCGGAAUUACUGGGUGUAAAGGGUGCACAGGCGGUUUUGUGCGUCAGAGGUAAAAUCCCACAGCUCAACUGUGGACCUGCCUUUGAUACGGCGAGACUUGAGUACAAGAGAGGAUGAUAGAAUUCCUGGUGUAGCGGUGAAAUGCGUAGAUAUCAGGAGGAAUACCAGUGGCGAAG
Molecule: ribosomal RNA, 445 nt
Filed under: uncultured bacterium
Lineage: Bacteria
Description: bacterial SSU rRNA
Rfam family: Bacterial small subunit ribosomal RNA
Source: RNAcentral